AUUAUCGAAAGCUUGGAUCUCAGAGAGAUAGAGCUCUCGGGUAGGAAAUUCACUUGGGCUAAUUCGUUACCGGUACCGAUGUUUGAGAAACUUGACCGUGUUCUAGCUAGUGUGGCAUUGACACAAGGUGUCUCUGAUCACACACCGUUACUAGUCGACUCGGGCGUUCAAACAUUUGUGGGCAACAAGAACAUUUUCUCGUUUGAACUUGCCUGGUUUGAAAGAGAAGGGUUCCUCGAGUUGUUAGCUCGGGAGUGGGCUAAAGACUCAGGAGGAAGGACGCCUAUCGAGCGAUGGCAAUGCAAGAUUCGUCAUCUCCGAAGGUUCCUUCGUGGAUGGGCUAAGCACACGCACGGUAUUUAUAAGGCGGAGAAGGAGAGACUUCUUCUACUUAUUCAAAACCUUGAAGUUAAAGCAGAAACUUCUAUCUUGGAUUCCAGUGAGUUGGAAACGAAGAUAGAGGCGGAGAUGCGACUUAAAAAGCUUCUUCGCAAGGAGGAAUUGAAGUGGGCAUUGCGAGCUAAGGUUCGCAAAAUAGUACAAGGCGAGGAUAAUACUCAAUUCUUUCAUAUGAUUGCUAAUGGGAAGCAUCAUAAAAAGAGAAUUUUCCAACUAGAA
Molecule: ribosomal RNA, 618 nt
Filed under: Triticum aestivum (bread wheat)
Lineage: Eukaryota; Viridiplantae; Streptophyta; Magnoliopsida; Poales; Poaceae
Description: partial small subunit ribosomal RNA
Source: RNAcentral